ACUCCCGUAGUGUAGAGGUCAAUCAUAUCGGAUUUUGGUUCCGAUGACGACGGUUCGAAUCCGUCCGGGAGUA
Transfer RNA from Methanospirillum hungatei JF-1, 73 nucleotides. It matches the Rfam family "tRNA". Rfam says of the family: Transfer RNA (tRNA) molecules are approximately 80 nucleotides in length. Their secondary structure includes four short double-helical elements and three loops (D, anti-codon, and T loops). Further hydrogen bonds mediate the characteristic L-shaped molecular structure. tRNAs have two regions of fundamental functional importance: the anti-codon, which is responsible for specific mRNA codon recognition, and the 3' end, to which the tRNAs corresponding amino acid is attached (by aminoacyl-tRNA synthetases). tRNAs cope with the degeneracy of the genetic code in two manners: having more than one tRNA (with a specific anti-codon) for a particular amino acid; and 'wobble' base-pairing, i.e. permitting non-standard base-pairing at the 3rd anti-codon position. NCBI's taxonomy places the organism in Archaea, Methanobacteriati, Methanobacteriota, Methanomicrobia, Methanomicrobiales, Methanospirillaceae. The record is from Rfam.